This 253-nucleotide ribosomal RNA is filed under the name uncultured bacterium. RNAcentral describes it as "partial 16S ribosomal RNA". It matches the Rfam family "Bacterial small subunit ribosomal RNA", at positions 524 to 776 of the family's 1533-position model. The record is from RNAcentral.
UACAGAGGGUGCGAGCGUUAAUCGGAAUUACUGGGCGUAAAGCGCUCGCAGGUGGUUCGAUGCGUCGUGCGUGAAAGACCCCGGCUCAACUGGGGGGUGUCGUGCGAUACGGUCGGACUGGAGGCCAGUAGGGGGAUGCGGAAUUCCGGGUGUAGUGGUGGAAUGCGUAGAGAUCCGGAGGAACACCAGCGGCGAAGGCGGCAUCCUGGACUGGUCCUGACACUCAUGAGCGAAAGCGUGGGGAGCGAUCCGG